CUCUCUCUCUCUCUCUCUCUCUCUCUCUCUCUGUGUGUGUGUGUGUGAGAGAGAGAGAGAGAGAGAGAGAGAGAGAG
Podarcis lilfordi (Lilford's wall lizard) is the source of this 77-nucleotide non-coding RNA. The record is from the annotation of a GenBank genome assembly. Lineage: Eukaryota; Metazoa; Chordata; Lepidosauria; Squamata; Lacertidae.